AUUGAACGCUGGCGGCAUGCCUUACACAUGCAAGUCGAACGGCAGCACGGGUGCUUGCACCUGGUGGCGAGUGGCGAACGGGUGAGUAAUACAUCGGAACAUGUCCUGUAGUGGGGGAUAGCCCGGCGAAAGCCGGAUUAAUACCGCAUACGAUCUACGGCUGAAAGCGGGGGCCCUUCGGGCCUCGCGCUAUCGGGUUGGCCGAUGGCUGAUUAGCUAGUUGGUGGGGUAAAGGCCUACCAAGGCGACGAUCAGUAGCUGGUCUGAGAGGACGACCAGCCACACUGGAACUGAGACACGGCCCAGACUCCUACGGGAGGCAGCAGUGGGGAAUUUUGGACAAAGGGCGAAAGCCUGAUCCAGCAAUGCCGCGUGUGUGAAGAAGGCCUUCGGGUUGUAAAGCACUUUUGUCCGGAAAGAAAUCCUUGGCCCUAAUACGGUCGGGGGAUGACGGUACCGGAAGAAUAAGCACCGGCUAACUACGUG
This 486-nucleotide ribosomal RNA is filed under the name uncultured bacterium. RNAcentral's name for it is "partial 16S ribosomal RNA". It matches the Rfam family "Bacterial small subunit ribosomal RNA", at positions 30 to 507 of the family's 1533-position model. The record is from RNAcentral.